CCUACGGGAGGCAGCAGUGGGGAAUAUUGGGCAAUGGGCGCAAGCCUGACCCAGCAACGCCGCGUGAAGGAAGAAGGCUUUCGGGUUGUAAACUUCUUUUAAGAGGGAAGAGCAGAAGACGGUACCUCUUGAAUAAGCCACGGCUAACUACGUGCCAGCAGCCGCGGUAAUACGUAGGUGGCAAGCGUUGUCCGGAUUUACUGGUGGUAAAGGGCGGGCAGCCGGGAAGACAAGUCAGAUGGGAAAUCCCGCGGCUCAACCGCGGAACUGCAUUUGAAACUGUUUUUCUUGAGUACCGGAGAGGUCAUCGGAAUUCCUUGUGUAGCGGUGAAAUGCGUAGAUAUAAGGAAGAACACCAGUGGCGAAGGCGGAUGACUGGACGGCAACUGACGGUGAGGCGCGAAAGCGUGGGGAGCAAACAGGAUUAGAUACCCCGGUAGUC
RNAcentral lists this ribosomal RNA (442 nucleotides) under uncultured bacterium. RNAcentral's name for it is "partial 16S ribosomal RNA". It matches the Rfam family "Bacterial small subunit ribosomal RNA", at positions 338 to 795 of the family's 1533-position model. The record is from RNAcentral.